CUAAAAAUGAGAGGUUUUUCCUGAAAUCCUAAAAUGUCUCUGCUUGAUCAUUUCUACAAAUAAAAUAUGGGUUUGAGAUUUGCACAUUCUUGCAUUCUGUUUUGUUUAUAUGUUAUACAGCGUCCCAGCGUUUUUGGUAAAAGUGUUCUCUAAAGUUCUAAGUGUUUUGUUUUUGUCUUGCACCGGUGGGUUUAAAUAUUAUUCUGUCAUGAUAUCCUUUACAAAAACAGCCCCCUGAUGUGUGAUUGAAUUUUUACCAAAGAGCCCAAGUGAAGAAAACACGCAGUGCUUGUUUUUAGCUCAUCUGACUGAAAGACUGAUGCCUUGGUGAAGCUCGGUCAUCAGGUGUCGUAGGCCUACAGUACUGGUCUGAUUUUAGUGAAGCUUGCACACUUAUCACUUCACCCAAACGAUGCUCAAGGUUAAUGUUAAAUGUGUUCUUUUAUGGGCCCUUUAUCGCUUUCACUUUACAAACUUUAACAUAUUUACAACUCACUCGCACCUGAUGUACAGAACAGCAUUCGAUUCAGUCCAUUUAGCAAAAUCAUUGACAUAAAAGGAUAAAACAUUGCAUGCGCUACAAAAUAAAUAAUAAUAAUAACUUUGUGAAAUAUCAAAGGAUGCGAUGACUUCAAAUAUUACUUUUGCACACAUGUUGCAUACUACUUGGUCAUGAUGGAGGGCGUGGUCAUAUUGGUUGAAAUUCUUUUGUUAAAGAAGUUAAAUGAAGAAUAAUAAUAAUAUAUACUAGCACAUGCCUCUCUCACAGACAGAGCUGAAUCAAUGUAGGAUUCAAAACUAACCUUUAUUCAGGUUGAGGACAAAGGAAUACAAAAUCCUUCAAAGAGACAAACAACAGAAACUCCAGGCACGCGUGAAGGCAGAAUACAAGGGAGUAUUAACAACCACUUUGAGCUCUAAGAGAAGGAAGAUCGGGCAAUUUAUACACACAGGAGGCCAAUCAGGAGGCAAACAGAGGUGCAAACAAUCAGGAGAAAAGCACAGGCAGGAAGCAAAACUGAUGUAAGAAAGCUAGACUUCAAAAUAAAACGGUAAACAAAUGAGACGACACUUGAAGCAGACCAAGAGCAGCUAUUAACAAAAGCUGGGACACAGAAAUGAACACAUAAGGGAACCACAAAACUAAACAUUGCAUUAAAAAAAAACAAAACAAAAAAAAAAACAGUGUGAUAAAAGUCCUUAUGUGGUCAUCUCCCAAUACUCGCACACCAGACGUUGAUAAAAAAAGCAAUUUACUUUUUCUUUUGCUCUGUUUUUGAACAGAGCAUCUUUUUGUUAUCGAUUUAUUUAGACAGACGAGGCGGUCUUCACGGGGAGGUAUGGUAAAUAUCUCCAAGGAUCUCCUUUGAAAUGUCCCACAUGCACACAGGAGCAGAGAACAAACUUCUUUAUCUCACAAAUACCUAGUUUACAUCCCAAGGUAUUACAUUCACAUAGCGGCUCAGUUUCACUGAUUAGCCCGCCAUAAGAAAAUGUCACUUUGUGAUCUUUAGAUAAUGAAAUGAAAACACUACUUGCUGCUUUAACGACUCUCGACUCCUGCAAAUGUUUACUGAAAGCUCCCCUUCCAAGCUGAGCUGUGAGCUAAUCUCUCACAGCAAUGAGUCAGACAGGUGGAUAAAAAUACACGCAGGAGUCAAACAAACGUCAAGAAAACUGUUUCCACUUGGGCUCAAAUCGCUUAGGAGGCAGUAAAACUGCUGCUGGUCUUGAAUGAUCUGGUUUAAAAAUGCACUGCGGUCCUUUUCAAAGCUGCAGGCUCUCUGCAUCUCGCCAUCUGUGUGCAGCACGAACCUCACCACAAUAUAAACACACAGCAUUAUGUGUAGACACAUCCUAGUUAAACAUAUCGCUGCAUUGCUUUCCAUACGCACACGGUUGGGCAUGUUCUCACAUGCAAAGUUUACUACUGCAACAUAAUUCACUUAUUUUAAUCUAAAAAUGUAAAUUUUUUGGCUCAUUCAAUCCAUAUCAUAUGUUCAUGUUCAUUCCCUUUCAGCUAAUAAGGGCAUCACAGCACAUGUGGACUUGUGCGUUUUUGUUGUGAAAUGUUCCUGUCUAUGAGUUGGAAAGUUAGGACUUUAUAUUUUUCUAAAUAUAUCUCUGAGGAGGGUUCUGUGUAUUUCAGUACUGUAUAUGCAUAUGUAACUGUACACUGUUGCUGGGAGCGAAUUCAGUGGCUUUGUAGUGUUUUUGAGCAUGUUUGCACAGACUUGUACCUUCGCAGACCUGGUGAAAAUCAAUCAUGACCAUCAAUAAACUCUACUUGUAAAUUUG
Astatotilapia calliptera (eastern happy) is the source of this 2298-nucleotide long non-coding RNA. The record is from Ensembl. Lineage: Eukaryota; Metazoa; Chordata; Actinopteri; Cichliformes; Cichlidae.